This is a non-coding RNA of Elaeis guineensis (African oil palm), 2181 nucleotides long. The record is from RefSeq and is a predicted model, not a curated record. Lineage: Eukaryota; Viridiplantae; Streptophyta; Magnoliopsida; Arecales; Arecaceae.
GAUAUGAAAUAGUAUCAUAUGCAGCACUUGCAGAUUUGAUCUUCUAAAGCAUGUGGAACUGCUGGUAGCCUAAAAUUAUGAUGGAGCUCUUAGAGAUUGCAACUUGUAGAACUAUCACAUUGAUGUCGUUAUGAUUUGCUUAUUAGAUUUUUCCAGUGGAAGGCUUUUUCUUUUCUUUCUUUGUUUUUACAAAAUAUUUAGAUAUCUUUAAGAAUUCUUUAGUUAUUUUAUAUGCCUUAAAUAUAUAUCAUGGAACCUAGUUCAGAUCUUGACUGAUAGUAAAACUUAGGAGAAAUUCUCUGGUCUAGUAUUGCUUCAGACCCAAUCCAUAUAUCAGUUCAGCAUUGCUGUGCACAGAUAUUUUAGAAGAACUAAUUCAGUAUUUUAAUGAGCUCUUGGCGCUAUCAAGAAAAAAGAAUUGAAAUAUAAAACCCAUUGACUAUAAGUUUUCAUGUUGAUCCAACACAGGUAAUUUUUGUCCAUGCAACUUUUCUUUUUCAAGGUAUUUGUUGCAUGUGGUUAGUGUCAUUCUAUUGAGUAACGAGAAAGGUCCUCAUGCUAAUUUUGAAAUACAACAUGUUGGAUGCUUAUCUGAACUAGGAGCGGCCAUGCCCGCGGAUCAUCUUUACAAAUACUUUGUCAAAUUUUGACUUUGUCAAGCUGCCUUCAAGCAAGACAUUUAAUUGAACAACCUGCAGUUUGCAGAAGACACAUAAACAAUAAAGAUAAAUAUGUGAUAUUGAAAUAAAGAUAAAAUAGAAAAUAUUGAAGGACACAUACUUUGAUUUUCAGAUUUACAGGAAACAAUGAAUUGACAGAAAAGGAAAAGCAAGUAACAUAGUCUGGGUGCCUAAACGCCAAGUUUAGACUUUAGAAUCUAAGACUCAGGAAGAAAUGGACAGAGAUGGUAUUUCAAGAUACCGAAACAAUGCGCCGGGGUGGGGGAGGGGGUGCGGAAGUAAAGGGAAUGAUAGAAAGAAAAACAAACUGCCUUCUUCUUUUGAAGGAAAAAAAUAAAAAAAAAAUAACUUUUCUCUCAACUAAGUGGAUAACUAAUCCUUCCAGUGUUUCUAAAAGCAGCUUCCGUAUGUGGGCAGUCCAGGUACCAGAUAAUGCAUAAGCGCUGUAUAUGUAGCUACUUAUGCCGAUUGACUGGGACGUAGUUUCACAACCUGGAGAAGUGAGGAGGUGGAAGUCUACUAACCAGGUAAUUGGCCAUUGCUCAUCACUUGGGCACCUUCCUAUUCAGAGGCAAGGCCUAAACCCCUUCAGAAAGAAAUUUUGAAAAUUAAAUAGAUUCAUAAUAACAGUUAGAAAGUAGGAAACUGAAAGUAAAAUCGUAAUAAUUCAGUAGAAAUAAUGAAAAAUAAUGUGAGGGGAAGUGAGGGGGUGGAGGGCUACAUAACCAUGUCAUGGGAUUUUGCUUGCCUCUUGGGAACCUUCCUAUCCAGUUACAUGGCCUAAUUCUAGUCAUGCUGCCAGCAGGCCAUGUUCAUGUGGAGCCACUAAUGCAGCCAUCUCGGAAGCAUUCCAUGUCUGUAUCGGAUACGUAUUGGAUACUGAGCACUUCCUGGAUCUAUUCUAUUUGUAUUAAAUCUGGAGCAAACAAGUUCUAUAAAAUCAUGUGAACAACUUUCCAUCAGUAAGCUCCCUUGGACAAGGUUCCAAUUGCGCCACCUUGGAUUCUGGUAUCGACUUCAAAUCUAACAAAGAAAUUUGUUGGGGACUAGAAAUAUAUGUUUUUAAAUGCAUAUUGCUGCAAUCCACUGUGUACGGUUCUUUUGACUGCUGCUGCAUGCAUUGCUUUUUCUUAAUGAAAAGGAGAGCGGAACAUCCAAUUCAUUGAGGACAUGAGGUAUUGAAAAAGAACAGCAAGAACAGGAAUAGAGGCCAGGAGCUACCUCCCGCCGGAUCAAAAUAAAAUAGAUUACAGCAGUUUGGAUUUUAUCAGAUACCAUUGCGAAAUCCCCCGGGUUGUCUUGAUCAACAAAAAAUUUCCAAUAUAGGUGGUUGAUAGCUAUUUCUUUUACUUCUGGAUUGUAAAUUAACACUUUGUAAAAGUUCUCUUCUAAUAUACUGUAAAAGUUCAUUGUUCCCUAGUAUCAAGGUGGUCAACCAACCUGGAGCCUUUGUAAAUCUAGUAAUUUCAGAUACAUGAAUGCAUGGACUACUUGAAUCUCU